This 578-nucleotide ribosomal RNA is filed under the name Enterobacterales bacterium. Its description in RNAcentral is "bacterial SSU rRNA". It matches the Rfam family "Bacterial small subunit ribosomal RNA", at positions 824 to 1402 of the family's 1533-position model. Lineage: Bacteria; Pseudomonadati; Pseudomonadota; Gammaproteobacteria; Enterobacterales. The record is from RNAcentral.
UUGUUCCUUGAGGAGUGGCUUCCGGAGCUAACGCGUUAAGUCGACCGCCUGGGGAGUACGGCCGCAAGGUUAAAACUCAAAUGAAUUGACGGGGGCCCGCACAAGCGGUGGAGCAUGUGGUUUAAUUCGAUGCAACGCGAAGAACCUUACCUACUCUUGACAUCCACGGAAUUCGGCAGAGAUGCCUUAGUGCCUUCGGGAACCGUGAGACAGGUGCUGCAUGGCUGUCGUCAGCUCGUGUUGUGAAAUGUUGGGUUAAGUCCCGCAACGAGCGCAACCCUUAUCCUUUGUUGCCAGCGAUUCGGUCGGGAACUCAAAGGAGACUGCCGGUGAUAAACCGGAGGAAGGUGGGGAUGACGUCAAGUCAUCAUGGCCCUUACGAGUAGGGCUACACACGUGCUACAAUGGCGCAUACAAAGAGAAGCGACCUCGCGAGAGCAAGCGGACCUCACAAAGUGCGUCGUAGUCCGGAUCGGAGUCUGCAACUCGACUCCGUGAAGUCGGAAUCGCUAGUAAUCGUGGAUCAGAAUGCCACGGUGAAUACGUUCCCGGGCCUUGCACUCACCCGCCCGUCAAAA